This 492-nucleotide ribosomal RNA is filed under the name uncultured bacterium. RNAcentral describes it as "partial 16S ribosomal RNA". It matches the Rfam family "Bacterial small subunit ribosomal RNA", at positions 28 to 507 of the family's 1533-position model. The record is from RNAcentral.
GAUGAACGCUAGCUAUAGGCUUAACACAUGCAAGUCGAGGGGAAACGGCAUUAUGUGCUUGCACAUUUUGGACGUCGACCGGCGCACGGGUGAGUAUCGCGUAUCCAACCUGCCCUUUACUUGGGGAUACCCCGUUGAAAGACGGCCUAAUACCCGAUGUAAUUCAUUGAUGGCAUCAGAUAUGAAUAAAAGAUUUAUCGGUAAAGGAUGGGGAUGCGUCUGAUUAGCUUGUUGGUGAGGUAACGGCUCACCAAGGCGACGAUCAGUAGGGGUUCUGAGAGGAAGGUCCCCCACAUUGGAACUGAGACACGGUCCAAACUCCUACGGGAGGCAGCAGUGAGGAAUAUUGGUCAAUGGGCGCAAGCCUGAACCAGCCAAGUAGCGUGCAGGAAGACGGCCCUAUGGGUUGUAAACUGCUCUUAUACGAGAAUAAUUUGAUGCACGUGUGCGUUAUUGCAUGUAUCGUAUGAAUAAGGACCGGCUAAUUCCGUG